UACGUAGGCAGCAAGCGUUGUUCGGAGUUACUGGGCGUAAAGAGUACGUAGGCGGUUUGCUAAGUCUGGUGUGAAAUCUCCUGGCUUAACUGGGAGGGUGCGCUAGAUACUGGCAGGCUUGAGUAUGGGAGAGGAGAGUGGAAUUCCUGGUGUAGCGGUGGAAUGCGUAGAUAUCAGGAGGAACGCCGGUGGUGUAGACGGCUCUCUGGACCAUUACUGACGCUGAGGUACGAAAGCGUGGGUAGCAAACAGG
RNAcentral lists this ribosomal RNA (253 nucleotides) under uncultured bacterium. RNAcentral describes it as "partial 16S ribosomal RNA". It matches the Rfam family "Bacterial small subunit ribosomal RNA", at positions 524 to 776 of the family's 1533-position model. The record is from RNAcentral.